Molecule: ribosomal RNA, 1744 nt
Filed under: human gut metagenome
Description: bacterial LSU rRNA
Rfam family: Bacterial large subunit ribosomal RNA
Source: RNAcentral
GGUACCUUUUGUAGAAUGGUCCGGCGAGUGAAUGUAACUGGCGAGGUUAAGUUCUUAAGGAACGGAGCCGAAGCGAAAGCAAGUCUGAAUAGGGCGUCUUAGUCAGUUGUAUUCGACCCGAAACCGGGUGACCUAUCCAUGUCCAGGAUGAAGUUAAGGUAAAACUUGAUGGAGGUCCGAACCCACGGUCGUUGAAAUGCCCGGGGAUGAGAUGUGGAUAGCGGAGAAAUUCCAAUCGAACCCGGAUAUAGCUGGUUCUCUCCGAAAUAGCUUUAGGGCUAGCCUCGACUGAACAUUACCGGAGGUAGAGCACUGAAUGGGCUAGGGGCCGAGAGGUUACUGAACCCUAUCAAACUUCAAAUGCCGGAAAAUGAUAGUCGGGAGUCAGACUGCGUGAGAUAAGUUUCGUAGUCGAAAGGGAAACAGCCCAGACCCACAGCUAAGGUCCCAAAGUACGGUUAAGUGGAAAAGGAUGUGGAGUUGCACAGACAACCAGGAUGUUGGCUUAGAAGCAGCCACUCAUUAAAAGAGUGCGUAAUAGCUCACUGGUCGAGUGACUCUGCGCCGAAAAUUUAACGGGGCUAAAUCGUACACCGAAGCUUGGGAUGUAUCUAUGAUACAUGGUAGGAGAGCGUUGAAUGCGGGGUGAAGUCAGAGCGAAAGCGCUGGUGGACUGCAUUGAAGUGAGAAUGCCGGAAUGAGUAGCGAGAUUUAUGUGAGAAUCAUAAAGGCCGAAAGACUAAGGUUUCAGAAGGAAGGUUCGUCCGCUUCUGGUUAGCCGGGAGCUAAGGUGAGGCCGAAAGGCGUAGCCGAUGCACAUACGGUGGAGAUUCCGUAGCCGUCGAAAUAUUUAAGCAAAGGGACACUUAUGAAGGACAUGACCCGGGCGAUGGUAGCCCCGGGCGUAAGGGACUGAAAACAAGUAAGGAAGCAUGUUUGGAUUAAGGCGAGAAAAGCUUUGUGUAUAUAUGAGACGUCCGUACCGCAAACCGACACAGGUAGUCAGGAAGAGGAUUCUAAGGCCAACGGGAGAAGGGUAGUUAAGGAACUCGGCAAAUUGACCCCGUAACUUCGGGAUAAGGGGCGGUGCGUAAGCACCCGCAGUGAAUAGGUCCAGGCGACUGUUUAUCAAAAACACAGCUCUCUGCUAAAUCGAAAGAUGACGUAUAGGGGGUGACACCUGCCCGGUGCUGGAAGGUUAAGAGGAGGAGUGCAAGCUCCGAAUUGAAGCCCCAGUAAACGGCGGCCGUAACUAUAACGGUCCUAAGGUAGCGAAAUUCCUUGUCGGGUAAGUUCCGACCCGCACGAAUGGUGUAACGAUCUGGACGCUGUCUCAACUGCCCACCCGGCGAAAUUGUAGUACCGGUGAAGAUGCCGGUUACCCGCGGCAAGACGGAAAGACCCCAUGGAGCUUUACUGUAACUUGAUAUUGGGUCUUGGUAUUCUAUGUACAGGAUAGGCGGGAGACUAUGAAACAUACACGCCAGUGUAUGCGGAGUCACCCUUGGGAUACCGCUCUUAGAGUACUGAGAUUCUAACCUGCGGCCGUGAAUCCGGUCGGGGGACAUUGUCAGGUGGGCAGUUUGACUGGGGCGGUCGCCUCCUAAAAGGUAACGGAGGCGCUCAAAGGUUAGCUCAGCACGGUCGGAAACCGUGCCUCUGAGUGCAAACGCAAAAGCUAGCCUAACUGCGAGGCUGACGGGCCGAGCAGUAACGAAAGUUGGAGUUAGUGAUCCGGCGGUAU